Long non-coding RNA from Hevea brasiliensis (rubber tree), 968 nucleotides. RefSeq lists it as uncharacterized. The transcript is spliced from 5 exons. Lineage: Eukaryota; Viridiplantae; Streptophyta; Magnoliopsida; Malpighiales; Euphorbiaceae. The record is from RefSeq and is a predicted model, not a curated record.
UUUGUUUCGUGCUGAGUUACUGAACUUCCAAGGAUAAACAGGUGCGCAUUCCAAAUUCCUAAAACUAAGCAUUUGGCAUCUCAUCACUCGAUGAACAUAGUCUUCUUCUUUUAUUCCAUUUAAUCCACCGCAGAGCGAUCGCGAGGAAACUUGCUGCUGCUACUAAUGCUUAUCAAUCAGAAGUUCCCUGGAAGAACGUGUGUAGUGGUGGAGCAGCAAAUCCAACUGCAUCUACCUAUACCCAGAUUAGCAACCAUACGCAUGAGGGCAAGCAGAGUUUUACUCGUACAGUUCAUCCAUAAGACAUUGCUAUUGUUGGGAGAGGCAUGGUUGGCAUGGCCCUAUCUUGUUCCUUGGGUGUUUUUUUUUUUUUUCUCCAGUUCCUGGUUUGCAUCUCUUCUUUGAGUAGAUAAUAGUAGAAACAAGAUAAGAGGAAAGGUGGAGACAUUCUUGUUGAUGGCGUUGAAUAUUAGAGUCACACCAGCAACUGUAUCUCUUUUCAGAGGUAUUAAAUAUGCCAUUUUGAUUCUUCAUCUAUUUUUGGCUGACCUUAGCAGUAUAUCAUUGCUCCAUCCAACUGUAUUAUAAUUCACAGUUGAGGUUUGAUGUCAUCUAAUUGAGCUUUUCGUUCUUGCUUAACAACUUCUGUCAUCUGAAAGCCAAGAAAUUUUUAUCACGUUGGAAGACACUUAUAUACGGUGCAGAUGUUCCACUCUUCUUGAUUUUAUAUGCUGCAACAGUGACAUCCUCCCUUAUCACAUGACACAGUCUGGACAUAAGUGAUUUUUUGCAGAUAUUGGUGCUUGGCAAUAUGUUCAACAGCAUCGGCAUGUGUUUUCUGAUAUAUGCAGGUUUACACUGGCUCAAGAUACACAAAGUACAAUGCAAGAGAUGUAAAUAAGAUGUUUUGGGUUGUGUAGUGGAGAACAGGGUGCUUCACAGUUCACUUUUCUCACUUGUUGAGGUAU